UAGCAUAUCAAUAAGCGGAGGAAAAGAAACCAACAGGGAUUGCCCUAGUAACGGCGAGUGAAGCGGCAACAGCUCAAAUUUGAAAUCUGGCUCUCGGGCCCGAGUUGUAAUUUGUAGAGGAUACUUUUGAUGCGGUGCCUUCCGAGUUCCCUGGAACGGGACGCCAUAGAGGGUGAGAGCCCCGUCUGGUUGGAUGCCAAAUCUCUGUAAAGUUCCUUCAACGAGUCGAGUAGUUUGGGAAUGCUGCUCUAAAUGGGAGGUAUAUGUCUUCUAAAGCUAAAUACCGGCCAGAGACCGAUAGCGCACAAGUAGAGUGAUCGAAAGAUGAAAAGCACUUUGAAAAGAGAGUUAAAAAGUACGUGAAAUUGUUGAAAGGGAAGCGUUUAUGACCAGACUUGGGCUUGGUUAAUCAUCUGGGGUUCUCCCCAGUGCACUUUUCCAGUCCAGGCCAGCAUCAGUUUUCCCCGGGGGAUAAAGGCGGCGGGAAUGUGGCUCUCUUCGGGGAGUGUUAUAGCCCGUCGUGUAAUACCCUGGGGGGGACUGAGGUUCGCGCAUCUGCAAGGAUGCUGGCGUAAUGGUCAUCAACGACCCGUCUUGAAACACGGACCAAGGAGUCGUCUUCGUAUGCGAGUGUUCGGGUGUCAAACCCCUACGCGUAAUGAAAGUGAACGCAGGUGAGAGCUUCGGCGCAUCAUCGACCGAUCCUGAUGUUCUCGGAUGGAUUUGAGUAAGAGCAUACGGGGCCGGACCCGAAAGAAGGUGAACUAUGCCUGUAUAGGGUGAAGCCAGAGGAAACUCUGGUGGAGGCUCGCAGCGGUUCUGACGUGCAAAUCGAUCGUCAAAUAUGG
This 848-nucleotide ribosomal RNA is filed under the name Fusarium foetens. RNAcentral's name for it is "LSU rRNA". It matches the Rfam family "Eukaryotic large subunit ribosomal RNA", at positions 36 to 914 of the family's 3401-position model. The record is from RNAcentral. Lineage: Eukaryota; Fungi; Ascomycota; Sordariomycetes; Hypocreales; Nectriaceae.